This 77-nucleotide transfer RNA is filed under the name Candidatus Bathyarchaeota archaeon. RNAcentral's name for it is "tRNA-Met". It matches the Rfam family "tRNA". From Rfam's summary of the family: Transfer RNA (tRNA) molecules are approximately 80 nucleotides in length. Their secondary structure includes four short double-helical elements and three loops (D, anti-codon, and T loops). The record is from RNAcentral. RNAcentral also lists the same sequence under 1 other name. Lineage: Archaea; Thermoproteati; Candidatus Bathyarchaeota.
AGCGGGGUAGGGCAGCCAGGUAGCCCGCUGGGCUCAUAACCCAGAGGUCGGUGGUUCAAAUCCACCCCCCGCUACCA